Aplysia californica (California sea hare) is the source of this 1231-nucleotide RNA transcript. RefSeq lists it as uncharacterized. The transcript has 8 exons. The record is from RefSeq and is a predicted model, not a curated record. Lineage: Eukaryota; Metazoa; Mollusca; Gastropoda; Aplysiida; Aplysiidae.
UGUGUUUGUGCCCCUGAAAAAGGGAUGGGCCCCUGGAAAAAUGAGAAGUGGAUUUGACAGUCACCCUGUUUUUCUAUAAAAAGGCAAUGAAUGCUGACUAAUGUGUUGGUUCGUUUGCAGGUCCAGGUGCUGGAGGCUUUGAUAGCCCUGCAGAAACUCCGCCUUUCGUCACCAGCUUAAGAGAGAAGAAAAAUCAGCCAUAGUCCAGAGGAUGGAAGCCAGCCUCACGGAGGAAGACUUUUCUACGGAUGAGGAGGAGAAAGAAACAGAGGAAAGUGAUGAGGUCCUCAGUAUUUCGGAUCUCACUGUUUCAGAGGACUCUGAUGAAGAUGAUCCAAGAUUUUUGGAAGGUGGCAGAUCGGGGCAACUGGAUUUUGCUAGGGAGCACGGUUUGGUCAAGGAAGAACAGCCUAGUUAUGAGCCGGGGACAUCUGGAGUGAGAACAAAACCAAAAAGUUUCCUUCUGCCAGAUCCUGAGGACAUCCAGAGCUCUGAGGAAGAUGUAUCGCUGAAGUCUCUGGAAAAGACAGUUGCCAAGAUACGCAGUGUCCUGUGGAAGUGCCGAGGACUCCCUCUGAAAACCAAGUGUUUCCUGAGCUAACAAGUCCACUCCUGAUUGGCUGGCUGAAGGUGAGACGUCAAAGAACUCAUCAGCCUGACGGGAGGAGCAAGGUCCAGGUGCUGGAGGCUUUGAUAGCCCUGCAGAAACUCCGCCUUUCGUCACCAGCUUAAGAGAGAAGAAAAAUCAGCCAUAGUCCAGAGGAUGGAAGCCAGCCUCACGGAGGAAGACUUUUCUACGGAUGAGGAGGAGAAAGAAACAGAGGAAAGUGAUGAGGUCCUCAGUAUUUCGGAUCUCACUGUUUCAGAGGACUCUGAUGAAGAUGAUCCAAGAUCGUUGGAAGGUGGCAGAUAGGGGCAAUUGGAUUUUGCUAGGGUCCAGGUGCUGGAGGCUUUGAUAGCCCUGCAGAAACUCCGCCUUUCGUCACCAGCUUAAGAGAGAAGAAAAAUCAGCCAUAGUCCAGAGGAUGGAAGCCAGCCUCACGGAGGAAGACUUUUCUACGGAUGAGGAGGAGAAAGAAACAGAGGAAAGUGAUGAGGUCCUCAGUAUUUCGGAUCUCACUGUUUCAGAGGACUCUGAUGAAGAUGAUCCAAGAUCAUUGGAAGGUGGCAGAUAGGGGCAAUUGGAUUUUGCUAGGGUGAGUUAGCCAAGUCCUCACAUUUUCAAUUUUUC